GCCGUGAGUGCUAUAUUCGGGGUCAACUAUUAAGUACCUUCGACUUCCUGAUGAAGUGAUUGAUUUGGUAAAGGAAGAGGUGAUAGCAAGAGGACGAGGUAGAGGUGAAAGUAGAGGUCGUGGUGGUCCAGGAAGAGGACGUGGAGGUCCUGGUAGAGGUGGUUUUGGAGGCCGUGGACGUGGUGGCCCACCUGGGGGAGGACGUGGAGGCCCAGGACGUGGAGGCAUGAA
This is a long non-coding RNA of Penaeus monodon (black tiger shrimp), 231 nucleotides long. RefSeq lists it as uncharacterized. The record is from RefSeq and is a predicted model, not a curated record. The transcript has 2 exons. Lineage: Eukaryota; Metazoa; Arthropoda; Malacostraca; Decapoda; Penaeidae.